UGUGAGCAUAGAUGUUGAUGGAUAGAAUUGGUUUAGGACUAUAAUGAAAGCAUAGUAUGCAGUUUUAAGCAAUCAGAUAUUGCAGAUAAUGCUUCAGCAUGCAUUUCCCUCAUCUGUGACAGGUAUGAUGGUUCCAUUGGAGCGGCAUCGGGUGCUGUAAUGGCUGCUGAUCAAUUUGCAUGGCAGUUAAAUCGAAGAAACCUUUGACCUUGCAGUGAAGUUGAAAUUGUAUGGUUCGUCCGCAGACUUUUUCCCUACCUGUCUGAGCCAAAUACUGGCAGAUGGAGAUCCUGAUAGUCCAAUGAAUUCAUUCCGCAAAUCUGUCAUUGAUGGCAAGGAGAUCAUCUUUCUUGCUAACGUGCAAGUUCGUCACUGCUGUGCUCAGAAUGUUUGAACAAGACAAACUCUAGGAGGGUCGGCAGUUUUUGGCAAAAUUUUCAAGCAACUAGUAUUCACAGGCGCUGGACUUUGAUUAGGAUGAAUUAGGUAGAGGACUCUCUGAGUUGAAAAUCAUGUGAGAUCGUUGGUCUGCUAUUUGCUAUUUGGCCGUGCUGGUAUUGGGUGAAGGUCUUGCUGGUGUCUGCAUUGUGAUUUUCCUCUGUACAAAGAUCGUUAUAUAAGUUUGUUCAGCCGGCUUAUUAAUGUCAUCAUUUUUAUAACUGGAUUCAUGCCGAUAAUAGAAAUUAGAAGAGGGAUGAAACUGUGCUUGGAUUAAUUACA
Long non-coding RNA from Eucalyptus grandis, 720 nucleotides. RefSeq lists it as uncharacterized. Lineage: Eukaryota; Viridiplantae; Streptophyta; Magnoliopsida; Myrtales; Myrtaceae. The record is from RefSeq and is a predicted model, not a curated record. The transcript has 2 exons.